CGGAAUGUAAAAACUACUGCACGUAUGCCUACGACUGUCAUAUCGCAAUCAUAAAACGUUCCGGCGAUUAAGUUCACGUUAGCACUUGUGCUUUUAUAAACGCGGUCUCAAGUAUGAUUGCACAAACGCGCAUUCCAACGCGGUCACGUCCGGAAGCCCUAGCCUAGGUUCAGCCUUCGGUUGGUCGGAUCUCAAAAAAGUCACUCUUGUAUACAAGACUAACGGGCUGGCAGAUAACAUGGGUAGUUCCACCUACAUGAAAAUAACCGAAUGAAUAAUUCGGAUACUUCCAACUCGAAAUUUUGGAAUCAACAUCAAAUUUGAAAUAUGCUACGCAUGCGUCUGACGCACACAAUGUGCACGUCUGAAUUUUCGACGUACGACGAUGUCAUUUGUACAAGCGCAUCGCAAGUGAUUGUAAUGCAAUCGCCAGUAUUGUGAAACUGCGACAAAGCUCUAGUAAUAGACUGGUGCCCACCCUAGGCUUCUCUGGUGUUAUGCCGGCCCUGCAAGACUAUACGUUUCACAGCGACGUUGCCGGGAACCCUAAUGAUAAGGGGAAACACAUUCUCUUCUAGCAUCAGCAGCGUAUGUUAAAAACUAAGCAUUGGAAUCACGGCCCGCGCGAAAAUUACGUCGAUGGAGAAAAAUUUCAAACUGGAUCCAAAUCUACAGCCACUGAUCGAAGAUAGAUCUGUGAAGAAACCUGGGACUACAUCUUGAUAAAUACAGACCUGCAGGUUUCUUCACGUGGAUCUCUUGAAAGAGAGGAGCAACGUAUUAAGUGGGCAUAAUCGUCAACACAAGCAAGUCCAAAUCUUCUUCAAAUUGACAUCGUUCUGUAUACACUGGAAACACUCAUCUUCGAAUACAACGCAAGAGUAAAUGCAUCUUUGAGAGGAAGGAUAUUGCAAGUGGAAUAAGACUGAUUUUUUCGGAGCUGUUUUAUAGCGUCACCAACCGGUAUAAGAUGCCGUUAGAAACCUGCAUUGCAUCCAUCAAGGUGUUGGAAUUAAUCGAUAGCGACAUUUGCUUUGCAUUUGACGAGCUACGGUUACCACAGAACGUGAGCACCAUUAAACUGCAUAUG
Long non-coding RNA from Topomyia yanbarensis, 1090 nucleotides. RefSeq lists it as uncharacterized. Lineage: Eukaryota; Metazoa; Arthropoda; Insecta; Diptera; Culicidae. The record is from RefSeq and is a predicted model, not a curated record. The transcript has 3 exons.